CCCCAGCUAUAAUGUCAACAGCUUCCAGGAAUACAGCACGGCAAGCUGGACAGGGUGGACAAACGUCACCCCAACAGCAGUCUAUUAUGAUUAUCAAGGCCGUGAUUCCUUCUGUGGCACCAAUGGCACCAGCCRCCAGGGGCUGGGAGCCCUUGGGGCUGAGGCAAAAAAAGGGCACUUAAUUUGGAACAAUGGUACCCCAAARGCCUUGCCACCAGACGUCUUUUUGAUAUGUGGUGACAGGGCCUGGCAGGGGAUUCCAAAAAGUGUAAUGGGUGGUCCAUGUUAUCUUGGUAAACUGACRUUACUGSCACYGGAUCAAAAUUGGUGGAAACAUAUCACGGAGAAUGAGACCACCGUCCGCGGUAAGCGAGCAGCCAUAGGGCUCUCACCUGAUUGUAAUGAUCAAGUUUCCCUACGCAGUCCCACUGAAAGAGUGAUUUUGUCCUUCUUCGUGCCUGGAGCAGCGGCAGGCAACGCCCUGAACCAGAUCGGCCGAUUGGCUUGCUGGGCUGAGAAGCAAGCUAACGUCACCACUGAGAUAAUAGAGAGCCUCUUAGAGGAUCAAGGUAGUUUGCGACAUGCUAUUCUGCAAAAUAGAGCUGCAAUUGAUUUUUUGCUACUAGCUCAAGGCCAUGGUUGUGAGGAUUUUGAAGGUAUGUGUUGCAUGAAUUUUUUUUUUUUUUUUUUAACAAAGCAGUAA
Molecule: long non-coding RNA, 703 nt
Filed under: Apteryx haastii (Great spotted kiwi)
Lineage: Eukaryota; Metazoa; Chordata; Aves; Apterygiformes; Apterygidae
Description: lncRNA (ENSAHAG00000010729.1)
Source: RNAcentral